Molecule: long non-coding RNA, 322 nt
Organism: Ictalurus punctatus (channel catfish)
Lineage: Eukaryota; Metazoa; Chordata; Actinopteri; Siluriformes; Ictaluridae
Exons: 3
Source: RefSeq, a predicted model, not a curated record
AGCAUGGGUGAAAAUGUAGUCUUUCAGAUGACUUUACUCCCUUUCCUCUAUUGCCUGCACGGCACAGCAUACGAUAAAGUAUUUUUCCCAUGACAACACGUUUUGUACUUUGUAGAUAUCAUGCCAGCAGAAAAACGACAAGACGUCAGAAGCUUUUUCCUCAACACCCAAAGCGAAACUCAGCAGCAGGCUGAAGUAGAGCAGGAUGAAACAGCUGCGUCUUCAGCGUUUCAGAUCAUCAGACCGACACCUGAGUGGCAGGAGGAGUCCUUUACUUGGUGAAAACCCUUCCUAUCUAGGCAAGAUGGGGAUUACUCUGGAG